UACAGAGGGGGCAAGCGUUGUUCGGAAUUACUGGGCGUAAAGGGCGCGUAGGCGGCCCGCUAAGUCGAACGUGAAAUCCCCGGGCUCAACCCGGGAACUGCGUCCGAUACUGGUGGGCUCGAAUCCGGGAGAGGGAUGCGGAAUUCCAGGUGUAGCAGUGAAAUGCGUAGAGAUCGUAAGGAAGACCAGUGGCGAAGGCGAGUUUCUGGACAGGUACUGACGCUGAGGCACGAAGGCCAGGGGAGCAAACGGG
This 253-nucleotide ribosomal RNA is filed under the name uncultured bacterium. Its description in RNAcentral is "partial 16S ribosomal RNA". It matches the Rfam family "Bacterial small subunit ribosomal RNA", at positions 524 to 776 of the family's 1533-position model. The record is from RNAcentral.